Coffea eugenioides is the source of this 1300-nucleotide long non-coding RNA. RefSeq lists it as uncharacterized. Lineage: Eukaryota; Viridiplantae; Streptophyta; Magnoliopsida; Gentianales; Rubiaceae. The transcript has 4 exons. The record is from RefSeq and is a predicted model, not a curated record.
AAAGUGACUAACAAUAGCACAAGCGGAGGACAGAGUUCCAUCUCUUCGUUUCUUGCUUCUUCCUCUUCCUCUGUUGCUAGAGAGCAGGUGAGCUGCUCUUGCAAACAGUGGCCCAUGUCAAAUCACACCCACUCCUCUUCGAUUUUUUGUCACAAAAUGUCUAGGGUUACAAAAUUAACUAUCCUCUCUCUCUCUCUCUCAAUACUUCUGCCGUCCCUCUCUUUCUUCUCUUCCUCUCAGUAGCUUCUCUCUUUUCCAGUUCUUCCUCUCUUUUUUUUUUUCUCAAAAAAAAAAUACUCACGCUUCCAUUUGCUUUGGUUGGAAGAAAGUGUUCUUUCGAUGGGUGAUAAUACAGAAGAAGGAAAGGGUCUAAGAGAGAGCAGACAGUGUCAACGAAUGAAAGGAAGAUAAACCUGGUUCUUUUAUUUUUGGAAGGAAAAUUGACGGGAAGGAGGAAAAAAGAUUAAACUUUUCAAGAUCUGCAUUAGCUGCAUCAACAGUAUCCAUGUGGACCGUUGCUUAAAAUGAGGAGAAUUUUGGGUUUUUCAGCUGCUGCUAGAGUAAAACAUUAGAUAUAUGCCCUUGAAAGUAGACUGGUAUGAUUAUUUUCUUUGGUUAUAUGAAUAAUAAGAGAGCCAUGAGGAUUUGCGCAUAAAAUUUCUCAAUAUACAUGUAUGUCUCUGGGUAACUUGAAUUAUGUGUGAAUAACAUGAGUACUUACAACUGAUGUUUAAAAAUAAUUAAGAAAUCUUGUUUUCAACAUAAGUAGAUAAAGAGCGAACUUGAUUCAACCGAAACGCCCCUCAUCCUUUCAUCUUCAUCAUCAGCAUCAUCUUCAUCUUCUUAUCUUCUAUCUAUCUUGGUGAGAACGAAUGGUAAGAAGAAAAAAUAAUUUGCUCUAAGGUUCUUUCUUCCUCUGCCAAAAAUAAUUAGCCCUUUAAUUUUUUCCCUUUUUUGGUUAGUGAAAUGAGGGGUUUAGUUGUAGCUUUUUGACCAAACUAAUGUUGUUUAUUUUUUUUUUAUAUUGUAGGAUAAUAGGGCUCUAGAUGUUUCUGCCUCUGCUUGGUUGUCUUCCUCUCCUCUUCUUCUCUCUUAUUUUUUAUUUUUAUUUUUGGUCAAAAUCCUCUUCUUUCUUUCCCCCUUUUCCUAUCUAUGUAUGUGAUGAGCAAGUGUUACAGACAAAUUUGAAAUCCUUUUAGGUUUUGAAUCUGAACAUUUUGAGAUUUUUUUCAUUAAAUAUUUUGUUCAUGUUGUUUUCUCAUUUUACUUAUCUGAUCUGAACUUGACCCCUUUUUUGUGA